This 422-nucleotide ribosomal RNA is filed under the name uncultured bacterium. RNAcentral's name for it is "bacterial SSU rRNA". It matches the Rfam family "Bacterial small subunit ribosomal RNA", at positions 355 to 774 of the family's 1533-position model. The record is from RNAcentral.
UAAGGAAUAUUGGUCAAUGGACGCAAGUCUGAACCAGCCAUGCCGCGUGGAGGAUUAAGGCCCUCUGGGUUGUAAACUCCUUUUAUCUGGGAAGAAAUGUACUUUUUCUUGAGUACUUGACGGUACCAGAGGAAUACGCACCGGCUAACUCCGUGCCAGCAGCCGCGGUAAUACGGAGGGUGCAAGCGUUAUCCGGAUUCACUGGGUGUAAAGGGCGCGCAGGCGGGAUAAAAAGUCAGUGGUGAAAUCCUACAGCUUAACUGUAGAACUGCCUUUGAUACUUUUAUUCUUGAGUUCGGGAGAGAGCGACGGAAUUCCGGGUGUAGUGGUGAAAUACGUAGAUAUCUGGAAGAACACCAGUUGCGAAGGCGGUCUCUUGGUCCGACACUGACGCUGAGGCGCGAAAGCGUGGGGAGCAAACA